AGUCUACGUGUUUGACGAAAUGUCUAGUUGAUUUCAGACCUCAGUUCAUCACGUGUGCUUCUGGGUCGAAACAUUUUGCUUCCUUGACUUUCAUAAUUCCAAGGUUUUUCUUUCUAAAACUAAAUUUUGUUUCAUUGAAGUUUCUUCUUUUAUAAUUCUUGUAACGAGAGAGAAAAUGAGUUUGAGAUGUUUAGGAUUUAGGAGCGUUUUGUUUCGUAGCGUUUUACUAUGCUUUUGUGAUUUUCUUGGAAUAUUGAGACAAACCAAACAAUGAGAAAUAUAGAGAUUGAAAUAAUAACGAAUUUGAGAGGUGGGAAACUAGAAUUUAUAUAUGAGGUAAAAGGAAUUUGAUGUCCAUUGGUAAUCACUCUGGAACUUCACCAACAAAAUAGCUUUUGGGGAUGAAGUUCAUUUGAUAAGUUUAGAUGAAAUUGCAUGACCAUUUUGAAACUUCUGUGGUGAUCACUAGUCUAUAGAAACAUUAAUGUCCUGUAUGUUGCUUUGUUUGGUUUACUUGGUGACUUUAAUUUGUUUUGUUAAUUUGGAUGGAGUUAAUUGUUGUAAUGUUUAUAAGAUUUGACCUUAAACAUAGUUUUGUAGCUAUAUUUAUUAGUUCUUACUAUAGCAAAUAACUUUCUUAUCUUAAAGUUUUUAUGAGAAAUUUUCAUGAGCUUUUAUUUUGACGAUUGUUUAUUUUUAAGUACUUUUCAUAACUUAGUAUAACCUUUUUGUUGUAGUUAAGGUGUUUGAAAAAAUAUCUGAGAGAUCUUCACUAGAUUUUCAUAGUUACUAAUGUGGCAGCUAUUGGGUCUCAUUAAAGUUUAACUUUAUUUUGAGAUGUAUUUACGAAACAGUGAACUAUAAAUAUGUUUUCUUGUCAUGUUUCAUAAGUAGAAAUCAUGUUUCUAACCCAAACUUUAUUCAAAUAAAAUAAAUUCAGAAAGAAACCUUUUUGCUUCCUAUAUUUAUCAUAUAUACUUCUCCCCUCCCCCCUUCACUUCCCACAUAAAAUCCAUCUUUUUCUCUAUACCAACAAAUAAACAAAGAAACAAAGAAAGAAAACCCCCUCCAAAAUGGCUGCUGCACAUCAGUUCCCUAAGACCUCCAUGUACCUUGAUCAAAACCCCGAAGCCGCCCUCAAGAACUUCGACGACGAUGGUCGAGAGAAACGAACGGGGACAUCAGUGAUAUGUUAGUUUGGAGCUUAGUGCGCAUAUAAUAACAGCAGUGAUAGGGUCGGGGGUUCUAUCGUUGGCGUGGGCGAUAGCGCAGCUCGGUUGGGUGGCUGGACCAGCUGUGUUGGUGGCCUUCUCUAUGAUUACAUAUUUAACAGCAACUUUUUUGGCUGACUCUUAUAGAUCUCCAGAUCCUGUUACUGGGAAAAGAAACUACACUUAUAUGGAUGUUGUCAAGGCUCACUUGGGUUGAAGUUACGAUUGUUGAUGUUUCUACCAGUCAUCAGAUUGGGAUCGACAGUUGGGGGGAAGGCAAUGGAAUCUCUGGUCAAAGAGGGAUUUAUACAGGGUUCUCCUUUUUGCAAACUUGUUCGUGAAGUGCUUGUAGAGUUGGAGUUACCACAUUUAGUACGUUGGGAGUUAUCACUAAACAAAUGACUGCAAUAGAAGAAAUGGUUGCAAGUGAGUACAAUUAGCCAGACCCUCAUCUUUGUGACAAGAUCUUGAAGUUGGUCAUUUGUGAAGCGUUCUACUUUGCUAUUAGUUGCAGUUUUAGUUAUUGCUCUCUCAAUAUAUUCUUUUUCUUUCUUUCUUUCUUUUUUUCCAAAGGAUGAUCAGUGUAAUAAUUAAGCUUCAUAAUUUCUGUGUUUGGAUCCAAGUUGUAUAUAAAUGUCACAUUAUUAAGAUUUCAUUUUGUAUAUGUACAAGUAAAAGAUUUCAUUUUUAA
This is a long non-coding RNA of Cucumis melo (muskmelon), 1902 nucleotides long. RefSeq lists it as uncharacterized. The transcript has 5 exons. The record is from RefSeq and is a predicted model, not a curated record. Lineage: Eukaryota; Viridiplantae; Streptophyta; Magnoliopsida; Cucurbitales; Cucurbitaceae.